GGCUGCCUUCUCCCCCGGCUGAGACCCGGGCCAGACUGAGUCCCUAGCGGCCCAUUACCCCGCCGGGCUCGUCCCAGACACCUUUGAUGGCUGCCCUUUGCCCCGUCUGGUCUGAGCGGACAAACAAGGGAAAUUGAGUCUCUGGUCCUGCCUGUGUGCUGGGCUACAUCUGAGCAUGCUGCCAGGCACCCUGAAGCCAGGCCUGAUGCUCCCUCCUGAUCCAGUCCUAACGAUCCUGCCUGAGGCCAGACAGCAGGACAGAUGGCAGCAGCCCCUUGUGUGCCUGAGUUUGUCCACUGGUACAGGACUGUGGGAAACUUGGAAGCCCUAGUUCCAGAUCUGCUUCUGCUGAGCUGAGUGACCUGUUUCACGUGUGCAAGGAGGAGACAGGGCGACGGCUUCCUGCGCCAAGGCAGUCACUGCCCAUGUGUGGAGAACUUGUAAUAGCAGUCAUAGCUCUCAACUUACCAAGUGAUUACUGUGUUCCAGGACCAUGCUAAGGGCUUUACGUGGCUUAUCUCUUUGAGUAACCACAGUAACUUUAUCAGGGAGGUAUUACUAGUCCCAUUUUACAGAUGGGGAAAUUGAGCCUCAAAGAAGUUAAUUGAUUUGCUCACUUUUGGCAGGGAUUUGAAUGCAGGUCUUGUUGUUGUUGUUGUUGUUGUUGUUUGAGACAGAGUCUUGUUCUGUCGCCCAGGUUGGAGUGCAGUGGCUCCAUCUCGGCUCACUGCAAGCUCCGCCUCCCGGGUUCACGCCAUUCUUCUGCCUCAGCCUCCCGAGUAGCUGGAACUACAGGCGCCCGCCACCACGCCCGGCUAAUUUGUUGUAUUUUUAGUAGAGACGGGGUUUCACCGUGUUAGCCAGGAUGGUCUCGAUCUCCUGACCUCGUGAUCUUCCGCCUCGGCCUCCCAAAGUGCUGGGAUUACAGGCGUGAGCCACCACGCCCGGCCUUGAAUGCAGGUCUUAAUUAAUCUGCUCAACUGCCUUCUGGGUCUUUUGGCCACACGGGCCUAGGACAAAA
Molecule: long non-coding RNA, 1021 nt
Organism: Pongo pygmaeus (Bornean orangutan)
Lineage: Eukaryota; Metazoa; Chordata; Mammalia; Primates; Hominidae
Exons: 3
Source: RefSeq, a predicted model, not a curated record